This 68-nucleotide transfer RNA is filed under the name Marmota monax (woodchuck). Its description in RNAcentral is "tRNA.Ala". The record is from RNAcentral. Lineage: Eukaryota; Metazoa; Chordata; Mammalia; Rodentia; Sciuridae.
GGCUUGUGGAUCCGUGGUAGAGCGCUCGCUUAGCAUGUGCGAGACCCUGGGUUCGAUCCUCAGCACCA